Long non-coding RNA from Chenopodium quinoa (quinoa), 2170 nucleotides. RefSeq lists it as uncharacterized. The record is from RefSeq and is a predicted model, not a curated record. The transcript is spliced from 2 exons. Lineage: Eukaryota; Viridiplantae; Streptophyta; Magnoliopsida; Caryophyllales; Amaranthaceae.
AUUACAAUCCACUCAACUCUUCCUCACAUUCAAUAUAAAACACUCUUGCUGCCAUGUCGCCGUUCGAACUUCAAAACCCUAGAAGCUUCAACUGAAAAAUCCCCUAAAACUCAACAUCAAAACCUCAAGAAAUUUUUCUAACUAGCCGAAUAUCCAGCACUGCCUUGUUUUCGUUCGUACUGCAAAACCCUAGCGAAUUCAACAGCAAAACCCUGAUAAAUUCGACCCCAAACCAACAAAUUUGACCCCAAAAUCAAUAAAUUCAACUAGUAAUUGAAAACCCCAGAAUAUCCAAGCCAAAACCCCCCAUUUUCAAGCAAAUCCGAGGAAAAACACCCUAUUUUUGAGCAAAAAUCGACCAAAACCCCCACGAAAUUCGAACUAUUAAAACCGCUGAUAGUCGAGAUGAAAUACUCUACAUCGAGGCUAGCAAGGGAUUGCUGCUUGUUGGUGUUGCUGUUGAUGGUUAGAAGGGGAAGCAGUGGAGAUGGUUGACAGUAAUAAGAGGUGCGAAAUUAUCGUUUUAAGUGUGCAGCAGGUGCUUGUGGUUGAUGGUGAGUGCGGUGGUCUGGCCUAGUGUAGUGGGCAAUUUGUUGCAGAUAGCUAUUUUGUUGUUGAGUUGUUUGUGAAUUGCAGGGGAUAAUGUCAAGGUUUCUCUCUCUUAUAUUUAGAUUAACUCUAAUCUUAUUGUUAUUCAGAGAAUUUUCUAGUUUAGUUAUUCUAUAAUUUGAGGUAAUAAUUAAUUUCUUACUUGAUUCUCUCAUAUUAAAGGUAAUUUAACAUUACAAUCGAAGGUUUUAAAAAAAAAUACAAUUGAAGCGGCAUAAUCUAGUUUUUCAUUACCGAAUAAGAAUUUUAAGAGAAGUAGUCAAAAUAAUGACACAAUGUUAUUCCUUUGUUUUGUGUAUGAUAUUGUUUACCUCAAAUUGAAAUGAUGAUGUUAAUUACUACUUAAUGAUAAAGUGAUUAUGAGUUGAUGGCAUUCUGUUUUUGCAUUUCGUAUUUUAAGAAAAUAAUGGCACUGCAAUUUCAUUUUGUUUUGUGUACGAGAAGACAAGUACAAUGAACAUGUUUAAGCUAGACAUAUAAACUUUGGUAAAACAGGACUAAACUUAUUAGGGCCGUGAUUAAUAGCAAUUGUAGCUUAAAUUGGUCCAUAGUUUUUGUGUAUGUUAUUAAUCAAAUAAUGAAAUAAUCACCCAACCUUCCAACAGUAUAUUAACUCUGUAGAGUUCUAGCUGAAAUCUAAUCUUUAACAGUCCUCAUCACCAAGUGUUCGAAUCGAAGGUAUCAUGAUCUUACUCUGGAGUCAAUGAAUGAUGCUAACAAUGUAAAGAAUGCAAAAUUCGAAUAAUACGUUACUAGAAUUCCCAUUAGUUACUGUAAUAGUUGCAAUUACAGAAUUUACAGGAAGAAUCAUUGAAGAAGAUUGAUUUUGAUUUAAUAUAUGUAUAAUCCUUAAAUCAUGGAUAUAAAUUUAUCAAAAAUGAAUAUAAUGGUCUAUUUUUCUCUUUAAAAUUGUGAAUUAAGUUCUAAUCCGAGAUGUUUUUCUCUUUAAAAUGUGGUGAGAAUGAUAUGAUUAGUAUUCUUAUUUUUCAUGCUUAGGUUUUAUCUUGUUUGAAAUGAGUUGAAUGAGUCUAUUGACUUUGUGGCUAUGAUGCGAGCGUGUAGUGUCAUCAAAAAUUGGGAGGAAGUGAGAUGUGGCUACUAUAUCGUGCACUAUAUGUUUGAAACAGUUUAACAUCACCGUAGUAAUGAGGAUCUUGUUAGUACGUGUUGUCAGAUAUUUCACUACUAAUUCAUCAAUUUAUUUUAAAUUGGCUACAUUCUUGAAUUGAUUAGUUUUUGUUUUUGUGUUGUGUUAACAGGAUUUUUCAAGAACAAUACCUUAUAAUGGGGAGGAGAUAAAUGAGGUUCGAGAUAUUUAGUCAAACUUUUUCAUGAUCAACGUUGAAAUUUAGAUUUAAACUUAGCUAAAUCCAUUUGUUGUUAGACUUUUUUUUUGUUUUAGUUCUUAGGCUUGAAAUGAAUGUAUUUGGGGUACCAACAUUUUGGGUUGGUCUUUGUUCUUGUGUUGGUUGAUGAUAUCAAUAAUUUUGAGUUGUAAAAUUUUGAGACUCUGCCGAAAUUUACAUUUGCAUUCAAUAAUAUUGCAUUUUAAUUUCAAUUA